This 422-nucleotide long non-coding RNA is filed under the name Zea mays. Its description in RNAcentral is "long non-coding RNA (ZMAY_LNC002596)". Lineage: Eukaryota; Viridiplantae; Streptophyta; Magnoliopsida; Poales; Poaceae. The record is from RNAcentral.
GUGUACACCGGACAUGUCCGGUGCGCCAGCCACAUCACCAAAGCCGUUGGGAUUCGACCGUUGGAGCUCUGUCUUCUGGGCCCGCCUGGAUGUCCGGUGGCGCACCGGACAUGUACUGUUGAGUGUCCGGUGCGCCAGUAUGGGCGUGCCUGACGCCUGCGCGCUCUGGCGCGCAUUAAUUGCUGUUGCAGGCGACCGUUGGCGCGAAGUAGCCGUUGCCCCGCAGUUAAAUCGGACAGUCCGGUGUACACCGGACAUGUCCGGUGAAUUAUAGCGGAGCAGCCGUUGCAGUUUCCCGAAGCUGGCGAGUUCCUGAGGCCGCUCUUCCUUGGAGCACCGGACACUGUCCGGUGUACACCGGACAGUCCGGUGAAUUAUAGUGGAGUUGCCUCAGGAUUUUCCUGAAGGCGACGAGUUCGCGC